This 518-nucleotide unclassified non-coding RNA is filed under the name Hevea brasiliensis (rubber tree). Lineage: Eukaryota; Viridiplantae; Streptophyta; Magnoliopsida; Malpighiales; Euphorbiaceae. The record is from RNAcentral.
UUGUCGCUGCGAACUCAAUGGGAAAAAUGAAGGUAUUAAAGAUGGUGUGAGUUGUGGCAAGAGCUUGCCCUCUACAGCACAUUCAUCCAGGAAGGCAGGAAGCAGAACUACUCUUGGAGCAUUUGCUAUUUGGAUGCCAGUCGCAAAAAGUUGUCUCAAUUGGGGUGGGAGGACGGUGCAUAAGUGUGACCUUGGUUUAAACACUAAGGAAACAUGUGCUAGUCUUGAGCUCUCUCAUUUGCUGAGGAAAUAUUAUUUCAUAGAUGCUUUCGGCCAACUAUUAAUGACAUGCUGCUUGCAACAGCUUCACUUCAAUGACAUGAACUAUUGGUUUCAUAGCUAACCAGGCUACUGAGUCGAUGAAGAUCAAAUACCCGUAACUAUUUCAAGGACAGGGAUUCUAAGGUGCAGCCGUUAGAAAAAGAGCAUAUUCCAGCCAAAGCUCUUUUAAACAAUUUAAAGGGAGGCUAAAUUUGGUUAAUAUUUAAACUUUGGAAAGAGAGGAUAUUCGCACAGGC